CGGGAGGGCGCGUCGCAACUUUC
This 23-nucleotide ribosomal RNA is filed under the name Taxus baccata (English yew). Its description in RNAcentral is "partial 26S ribosomal RNA". Lineage: Eukaryota; Viridiplantae; Streptophyta; Pinopsida; Cupressales; Taxaceae. The record is from RNAcentral.